Molecule: unclassified non-coding RNA, 206 nt
Filed under: Hevea brasiliensis (rubber tree)
Lineage: Eukaryota; Viridiplantae; Streptophyta; Magnoliopsida; Malpighiales; Euphorbiaceae
Source: RNAcentral
AGAUUCUCGUCUCACAAAAGAAUUAUUCAAUGGAAAACAAUGGAGCCUGUUUUUCUUCAGCCCCACAUAACCAUGACUCUCUCCAGCAAUCCCAGUGGCUUCAGUUUACUCUAUUAGGUCAUUCUUCCCUCCCUCUCUCUGUGUGUGUCUCAUUAUUUGCUCGUGUUCUCUGUUAUUUCCCAGCUGCCACCAUUAAACCAGGCUAA